GGCCGCGGUAUAAUGACCGUGCGAAGGUAGCAUAAUAAUUAGUCUUUUAAUUGAAGACUGGAAUGAAAGGUCGGACAAAAAGUAAUCUGUCUCUAUUUUAAAAAUUGAAUUUAACUUUUAAGUGAAAAGGCUUAAAUAAUCUUUAAGGACGACAAGACCCUAUAAAACUUUAUAAACUAGAAAUGAAUUCAUAAUUUAUAUUUUUAACAGAAAUUAUUUUCAAUUUUAUUUCGUUGGGGCGACGAAAGUAUAAUGAUUAACUGCUUUUCUUUAAACACAAUUAUAUUUGUAUUUUAUGACCCUUUUUAAAGAUCUAAAGAAAAAGUUACUUUAGGGAUAACAGCGUUAUUUUUUUUAAGAGUCCUUAUCGACAAAAAAGUUUGCGACCUCGAUGUUGAAUUAAAACCCCACUAUGGUGCAGCAAUUAUAGAGGGAGGUCUGUUCGACCUUUAAA
RNAcentral lists this ribosomal RNA (454 nucleotides) under Filhollianassa filholi. Its description in RNAcentral is "partial 16S ribosomal RNA". It matches the Rfam family "Bacterial large subunit ribosomal RNA", at positions 1929 to 2592 of the family's 2925-position model. Lineage: Eukaryota; Metazoa; Arthropoda; Malacostraca; Decapoda; Callianassidae. The record is from RNAcentral.